UCAGAGAAAGUAAAAGAAAAAGCGAAGGAUGUAAUUGAUACAACGAAGAGUAAAAAGAAUGAAAUGGAACAAAAAAUGGAGCAAGUGAAAGGAGAAAUAUCUGAGAAAGCAGAAGAAGGGAAAGAAGAUAUGAAAGAUAUUAUCGUGCGAGGACGUGAUUUCUUUCGUGAUGUAUUUACUUACAGAUUUUCGUUUGGUAAUUUGCGUCAUGUGAUGCGUUUGAUGCAUUUAUUGGGGUUUUCUGUGGCUUAUGGGAUGUGUAUUUGGGUCACAUUUAUUUCGAGUUACGUGUUAGCUAGAGUAUUGCCAAGGCAG
This 315-nucleotide unclassified non-coding RNA is filed under the name Hevea brasiliensis (rubber tree). Lineage: Eukaryota; Viridiplantae; Streptophyta; Magnoliopsida; Malpighiales; Euphorbiaceae. The record is from RNAcentral.